Long non-coding RNA from Lethenteron reissneri (Far Eastern brook lamprey), 1045 nucleotides. RefSeq lists it as uncharacterized. NCBI's taxonomy places the organism in Eukaryota, Metazoa, Chordata, Hyperoartia, Petromyzontiformes, Petromyzontidae. The record is from RefSeq and is a predicted model, not a curated record.
AAACAACCGACAAUUAACGUCGACUAACACCAAGCCAGCACUGAGCGGCGUGGACAACUCACUUCGUGUGUGCGCAAGCACGACGUCUGGGCCAGUUUCCCCUCAGCCACGACUCAGAAUCCACAACAACUGAGGUACCAUCACGAUCGUGAGAGUACCGUAUGCAACAAUGACCGUGCUGUAACCUCUCUUGAACCGGGAGCUUCGACUCGUCACCUCUUGCAAGAACUAUUAUCUACCCGGAGCAAUCAAAAUGUCUACAGAAGACUGUUUAACAUCACCUCACCAUCAGGAUGCUGAUGUUUGUGAUGAAGAGGACUUGAUUGGACUUGCUACCACCACUUGUGAUAUGUCCGGUGUCUCUGGUGGAUCUUCUCAUGAUGACCAGCAACAGCUGCACUUGAGCAAUGCUAAAUUUAAGGAGGAAGUUUUGAAUGCUGAAGCCAGAUGUCAACUCAAUAGCCAAGAUGCAGUCGAUGACUUUUUCUGCACCAGUGAGUUUUAUGAGGAUGAAGAAAGUAACGAAGAAGUACAUCUGAUCAAUUACAUGAAGAUGGCAGCAUCGCCUAUUUAUGAUAUAAUGUGUGGCGAUGAGAUUAAUAACAGUGCAGAUGAUUCUGAUAGUGAUGCUAUCUCACCAUUGCCAAAAUUUAAUAGCUUAUCUGUUUCAGCACUUAACGAUUAUAUUGUCAGUGGUACUGGUUCCGAAUCAAAACCAAUUGUAGAUAAACCAUACCACGAGCCAUCUAAGGGAUGGACAACUGAAAGCUGUGCAGAUGUACUAAGACAUGAAGCAGCUUAUGAAGCAUUCAAUUCAUGUCACCCAAACACAAAUUUCCGAGAAUCUCAGGGUCCAUAUAAAGAUGUACUCAGAAAUGAAAACAAUUUAAUGCUGGAAAACUAUGAGCAAGACAAAAUUGUUGAGUUGCCUGGCAUUGGUAAUGAAGAGGUUAGAGAAAAUAAUUUUUGUUGUACAGCCAGUCCAUCCAAUGCAAAUCCUAAAGCAGAGAAAGGCAUGCAAUAUGGUGCACAUUUCAGUGACGGA